UUUUGGAGGGUGGGCCGUGAGAUCCGAAGGACAGACGGUUCUUACCGUGUUGCUGAGGCGGGAAGCUCGGCAACGUCCUCGACUCGACGAGCUGCGCGACCUCGGACGCGGAGGCCGCAACCAGAAGCCAUAGAAGGAGCAGGGAUGGCUUGA
Molecule: long non-coding RNA, 153 nt
Organism: Rhodamnia argentea
Lineage: Eukaryota; Viridiplantae; Streptophyta; Magnoliopsida; Myrtales; Myrtaceae
Exons: 3
Source: RefSeq, a predicted model, not a curated record